UGGACGGCAGAAUUCUGUGCAUGUGGGGGUUCAACUCAUCAGAGUUUUGUUGCCUGAAAAAGAAUGGGGAAAAAGUAUCAGAUGAAGGAAGUGUGUAUUGCUAAAUAUUUACACAAUAUCAAUAUAAUUAUAGGAAGAGCUCAACUGAAAAUGAGUAGUAAGUAGUGUGGUAUUUCAUUUCUCCUGCUCUUGGUCAGUAUUCCUUUUUAAU
Molecule: non-coding RNA, 211 nt
Organism: Pelobates cultripes (western spadefoot toad)
Lineage: Eukaryota; Metazoa; Chordata; Amphibia; Anura; Pelobatidae
Source: the annotation of a GenBank genome assembly